GGAAUUGUUCGCAAUGGGCGCAAGCCUGACGACGCAACGCCGCGUGGAGGAUGAAGGUCUUCGGAUUGUAAACUCCUGUUGCCAGGGACGAAUGGCUCCGACCUAACACGUCGGAGAGUGACGGUACCUGGUGAGGAAGCCCCGGCUCACUCUGUGCCAGCAGCCGCGGUAAUACAGAGGGGGCUAGCGUUGUUCGGAAUUACUGGGCGUAAAGGGCGCGUAGGCGGCCUGCUAAGUCGGACGUGAAAUCCCUCGGCUCAACCGGGGAACUGCGUCCGAUACUGACAGGCUCGAAUCCGGGAGAGGGAUGUGGAAUUCCAGGUGUAGCGGUGAAAUGCGUAGAUAUCUGGAGGAAAACCGGUGGCGAAGGCGGCAUCCUGGACCGGCAUUGACGCUGAGGCGCGAAAGCCAGGGGAGCAAAC
This 422-nucleotide ribosomal RNA is filed under the name uncultured bacterium. RNAcentral describes it as "bacterial SSU rRNA". It matches the Rfam family "Bacterial small subunit ribosomal RNA", at positions 358 to 773 of the family's 1533-position model. The record is from RNAcentral.